Venturia canescens is the source of this 2629-nucleotide long non-coding RNA. RefSeq lists it as uncharacterized. Lineage: Eukaryota; Metazoa; Arthropoda; Insecta; Hymenoptera; Ichneumonidae. The transcript is spliced from 3 exons. The record is from RefSeq and is a predicted model, not a curated record.
GAUUAAUUAAUAACUAGUAAUUUUAUCCGCCAAAAAAAUAAGUUGAAAAAAUUUAUUUGCAAUUUCGAAUUAAUAACUCUGACAUUAAUUUCGAGCGAUAAUAUCCUUAAUUACGAAGUAAAAAUCGACCCAGUUUAGAUACCCAUAAAAUAAGAUCCUGCGCGGGCAUGAUCUACCUUAGAACAGAGAAUUUUGAAUUUUUUGCAUAAAUGAAUGAUCAGGAGUUGAUCAAUUCGAAGAUCUUAUAGUUCUACAGAAUCUUGCAGUGAAAGAACGAUGAACGCGCGAGGAUGUGCAUUGUGCCGGGAUAGUUUUCACAUUGACGCAUCUGAUAGAGUCUUGGACUCAUGUCCGUGGAUUACUCAAACAAAAGGAAACACUGCCUCGGCCAAAGGAAAAGGAUGUCGUUGGAAAAAAAUUGGUCGAUCUAAUGGUCGUGGUAUUUCACGUUAAUGAGCGUCACUGGAGAUUCUUUUUUUUCUUGUGGGAACUUUGAUUGCAUCAUCGUGUAUUACAGACUAUAAGAAUUUGUCGGUUUUCUCAGAUCAGCGAUCGGUCGGUGUGUUCGAAUUUCCUCGAUGCUUUUAUUGGCCUCCAAUUUUUGUCUGCAUACGUAUAACGUACUUUCAUGAGCCAGCAUUUCUUCAAAAAAGACAAUCGACUGGGAACCUAAUUUUUCAAAAUAUUCAACGGUCACGCAUGAAUUUUCGAAGAUUUUGCAUCAUCCUUGGCACACCGGGCUAAUAAUGUCACCUAUUCGCGUUCAGUGGCAGAUCUUGUGGUUCACAAACGCAGUUGAAUACUUAAUUUUACUAUAAAUUAUUAUGAUCAGUCGUAAAUUCUUCUCAGUCAUUGGGAUUUUUUCAUUAGCGAUAAAUACUAUAAUUAAGGUAGCAAAAUCGUUGGUUACGUAUUGUAAAAUUGCAUAAAAACUUUUAAUAUUUAACAGAACGACGUUCCGCCCUCGUUUGGCAGAUUUUAAAACACUUAUUUUAUCUUAUCGUAAUUGAGGAAAGUUUGCAAUCAUAAAAAAAUCCUCGAAGUGUAAAAAAUUCAACUUAACAAAAAAGGCCACUAAAAAAUUUGUCGAAAAGAUUUUUUUUCAAUUUCUCAUUCCAUGCAAUUGAUGUAAUUAGAAACAAUUUUAAGAUGGCAAAAGAUAUCUUGUUCGAUCAACAUUUUUCUUGUUAAUCUAGAAUCGUUAAAUUUGGCUUUUUGUACUCACUAGUGACGAGCAGGGAGCCCAGAAUACACAUUAAAUAAAGACUCAUGUUCUGUGCUUUUUUGACUAACUUUUAUUCACCAUCAGAUUAGAGUUUCACGGUUUUAUUACAGUACCGGCAAGUUCGAUUGCUGCACAAGCUUGUUAGAACCGAAUUAAUAAAAAACGCGAAUUCGAUCGUAGAACUGGCGAAAUUGAUUUUUUUUUUUUUUUAACACGAGAAAGCACAAUUUUUUUCAAUAUUAUGUUUGUGUCAUGGCGCGAGUUAAAAAUGAAUGUUGAGCGAGAGAGCGAGUGAAGAAAUGUCCGGCGAUAUGACCGUUUUGCUGACGGCGGUAGACUGAACUUCGUCGAUCCUCAACAAGCACGUUAAAUAACGCACUCGGUCUGUCGUGACUCCUUUUCUGGUUGGCUUCCGUACAUCCUCCAACAUUUAAACAGGUCUAACCGAACCCGAACGCUCCGCUGCACUAUUCUCCACCGUUCCUUCGCUUCUCGAUUCGAAACAUGUGGAGUAAGGAAUCUCAGGUCAAAAGCCGGCUGUCGAGGACCCUCGGCUUCGUCCACCGAUGGAUAUCAAGAUUCGAUUAUCCAAAUCUGGUUUUUUCACAGGUUUUUCAAGCAGUAGACGAAGCCACUGUGAAAUAUGAUGGAACGAAGAUGCUGCAAUUGAAGUUUCGACUCAUGCUUGAUUUCAAACUUUUUUCGAGUUCCUUGAACGAUGAUUUUUCAAUGACAAAAAUUCAGCUGAGAAUCUGCUUGAUAUUAAAUAAAGAAUUAUUGUACAAGAGUGCAAUGGAAAGGAGUGGUUGCGCUGCUUUGCUUUGAAAUCUUCCAUAGGACGAUAAAGAUUAAUUUUAAUGAUUACUGCAAUCUCGUUCAACGGUACGAAUAAAAAUAAAAGCGAGAAGAUAACGCUGGCACCAAUGAUUCGAGAGGUUCUCUAAUUUUUUUCCAAUUUCUUCGACCUCCCACCAAAAUUUUCCACGAUACCGAGAUGCUAUAAAAUUAUUGAUUUUUCUAUAAACGAGAAAAUAUCUUGGCCCCUGAGUCCAGAGCCAUCCUAACAGCGGGCAAGAUUUUAUUCUCGAAAGAAAAAUAAGAUAAAUGAUUUAAAAAAAGACACGAGUUUCCCCCUGAGACCUGGAGAAAAGGAAACACUUUUCUAGUCCAACAACUUUUUUCCACAGCUUCGCCCAUCGGAAUUACGUGGGCAGCUACACGAGAGAGCUCUAACUGCAUUAGAAUAGACCUUGUGAGCGAGUUAAAAUUACAGAACAAAGAGUGCACCGUUUCUUUUCAUUGUAACGAUCCCAAUUGAAUGAAAAAAAUAUAUUAAUAUUGUGGCCUCGAAAAAUUUGUCAGAUGAUUCAAAUUUUGAGAAAAUAAAUCAUUUUGAGAAAAUAA